GACGAACGCUGGCGGCGUGCCUAAUACAUGCAAGUUGAGCGAUGAGGGUUGGUACUUGUACCAACUGGAUGAGCAGCGCACGGGUGAGUAACACGUGGGGACUCUGCCUCUUAGCGGGGGACAACAUUUGGAAACGAAUGCUAAUACCGCAUAAACGCUUUAAACACAAGAUUUAAGUUUGAAAGAUGCAAUUGCAUCACUCAAAGAUGACCCCGCGUUGUAUUAGCUAGUUGGUGAGGUAACGGCGCACCAAGGCGAUGAUCCAUAGCCGACCUGAGAGGGUGAUCGGCCACAUUGGGACUGAGACACGGCCCAGACUCCUACGGGAGGCAGCAGUAGGGAAUCUUCCGCAAUGGACGAAAGUCUGACCGAGCAACGCCGCGUGAGUGAUGACGGUUUUCGGGUCGUAAAACUCUGUUAGUAGAGAAGAACGGUGGUGGGAGUGGAAGUCUCAGCAAGUGACGGUACCGAACCAGAAAGGGACGGCUAACUACGUG
This 497-nucleotide ribosomal RNA is filed under the name uncultured bacterium. Its description in RNAcentral is "partial 16S ribosomal RNA". It matches the Rfam family "Bacterial small subunit ribosomal RNA", at positions 28 to 507 of the family's 1533-position model. The record is from RNAcentral.